GGCUCAGGAUGAACGCUGGCGGCGUGCCUAACACAUGCAAGUCGAACGUGAACCUAAUUUCGGUUAGGUGAAAGUGGCGAACGGGUGAGUAACACGUUGGUGACCUGCCCCGAAGUGGGGGAUAACUCUGGGAAACCAGAGCUAACACCCCAGAUGUUUAAGGGUUUAGACGCCUUAAACUAAAACUCUGGUGCUUUGGGAGGGGCCUGCGGGCUAUCAGCUAGUUGGUGGGGUAAAAGCCUACCAAGGCGAAGACGGCUAGGGGGCGUGAGAGCGUGACCCCCCACAAGGGAACUGAGAAACGGUCCCUACUCCUACGGGAGGCAGCAGUGAGGAAUAUUGAGCAAUGGGCGCAAGCCUGACUCAGCAACGCCGCGUGGAUGAUGACGGCCUUCGGGUUGUAAAAUCCUUUUCUGGGGGAAGAUAAUGACGGUACCCCAGGAAUAAGUUCCGGCUAACUACGUGCCAGCAGCCGCGGUAAAACGUGGGGGACAAGCGUUAUCCGGAUUUACUGGGCGUAAAGCGCAUGUAGGUGGCUUGACAAGUUGGACGUGAAAGCUCCCGGCUUAACUGGGAGAGGUCGUUCAAAACUGGCAAGCUUGAGGAUGGAAGAGGAGAGCGGAAUUCCCGGUGUAGUGGUGGAAUGCGUAGAUAUCGGGAGGAACACCAGUGGCGAAAGCGGCUCUCUGGUUCAAACCUGACACUGAGAUGCGAAAGCGUGGGGAGCGAACGGGAUUAGAUACCCCGGUAGUCCACGCUGUAAACGAUGGAUACUAGGUGUAGGCGGUCAUUAACCCCGUCUGUGCCGAAGCCAACGCGUUAAGUAUCC
RNAcentral lists this ribosomal RNA (829 nucleotides) under uncultured bacterium. RNAcentral describes it as "bacterial SSU rRNA". It matches the Rfam family "Bacterial small subunit ribosomal RNA", at positions 21 to 869 of the family's 1533-position model. The record is from RNAcentral.